ACGAACGCUGGCGGCGUGCUUAACACAUGCAAGUCGAACGGAAAGGCCCCUUUGGGGGUACUCGUGUGGCGAACGGGUGAGUAACACGUGAGUAACCUGCCCUUGACUUCGGGAUAACUUCAGGAAACUGGGGCUAAUACCGGAUAGGAAUCCUUGCUGCAUGGUGGGGGUUGGAAAGCUUCGGCGGUUUUGGAUGGACUCGCGGCUUAUCAGCUUGUUGGUGGGGUAGUGGCUUACCAAGGCUUUGACGGGUAGCCGGCCUGAGAGGGCGACCGGCCACAUUGGGACUGAGAUACGGCCCAGACUCCUACGGGAGGCAGCAGUGGGGAAUAUUGCACAAUGGGCGGAAGCCUGAUGCAGCAACGCCGCGUGCGGGAUGACGGCCUUCGGGUUGUAAACCGCUUUCAGCAGGGGCGAAGCUUGUGGUGACGGUACCUGCAGAAGAAGCACCGGCUAACUACGUG
This 464-nucleotide ribosomal RNA is filed under the name uncultured bacterium. Its description in RNAcentral is "partial 16S ribosomal RNA". It matches the Rfam family "Bacterial small subunit ribosomal RNA", at positions 29 to 507 of the family's 1533-position model. The record is from RNAcentral.